RNAcentral lists this ribosomal RNA (433 nucleotides) under uncultured Pseudomonas sp. RNAcentral's name for it is "bacterial SSU rRNA". It matches the Rfam family "Bacterial small subunit ribosomal RNA", at positions 97 to 526 of the family's 1533-position model. The record is from RNAcentral. Lineage: Bacteria; Pseudomonadati; Pseudomonadota; Gammaproteobacteria; Pseudomonadales; Pseudomonadaceae.
GGCGGACGGGUGAGUAAUGCCUAGGAAUCUGCCUGGUAGUGGGGGACAACGUUUCGAAAGGAACGCUAAUACCGCAUACGUCCUACGGGAGAAAGCAGGGGACCUUCGGGCCUUGCGCUAUCAGAUGAGCCUAGGUCGGAUUAGCUAGUAGGUGAGGUAAUGGCUCACCUAGGCGACGAUCCGUAACUGGUCUGAGAGGAUGAUCAGUCACACUGGAACUGAGACACGGUCCAGACUCCUACGGGAGGCAGCAGUGGGGAAUAUUGGACAAUGGGCGAAAGCCUGAUCCAGCCAUGCCGCGUGUGUGAAGAAGGUCUUCGGAUUGUAAAGCACUUUAAGUUGGGAGGAAGGGCAGUAAGUUAAUACCUUGCUGUUUUGACGUUACCAACAGAAUAAGCACCGGCUAACUUCGUGCCAGCAGCCGCGGUAAUAA